GUGGGGAAUCUUGCGCAAUGGGCGAAAGCCUGACGCAGCCAUGCCGCGUGAAUGAUGAAGGUCUUAGGAUUGUAAAAUUCUUUCACCGGGGACGAUAAUGACGGUACCCGGAGAAGAAGCUCCGGCUAACUUCGUGCCAGCAGCCGCGGUAAUACGAAGGGUGCAAGCGUUAUCCGGAUUCACUGGGUUUAAAGGGUGCGUAGGCGGUUUUAUAAGUCAGUGGUUAAAUCAACGGGCUCAACCUGUUAACUGCCAUUGAUACUGUAGGACUUGAAUAUGAGAGAGGUAGGCGGAAUGUUGCAUGUAGCGGUGAAAUGCUUAGAUAUGCUACGGAACACCGAUUGCGAAGGCAGCUUACUAUUUCAUGAUUGACGCUGAGGCACGAAAGCGUGGGUAGCGAACAGGAUUAGAAACCCUUGUAGUCC
This 425-nucleotide ribosomal RNA is filed under the name uncultured bacterium. Its description in RNAcentral is "partial 16S ribosomal RNA". It matches the Rfam family "Bacterial small subunit ribosomal RNA", at positions 354 to 796 of the family's 1533-position model. The record is from RNAcentral.